Non-coding RNA from Zunongwangia profunda SM-A87, 101 nucleotides. NCBI's taxonomy places the organism in Bacteria, Pseudomonadati, Bacteroidota, Flavobacteriia, Flavobacteriales, Flavobacteriaceae. The record is from Rfam.
AAUAACAGGGAAAGAUUUGACUGAUUGCAACCCUAAUACUUCUAAUCAUUUUAGAAGUAUGCCAAAGAAAAUAAUUUGGUUAAAAUGCUAAAGCAGUAAUA